This 404-nucleotide ribosomal RNA is filed under the name Ilyoplax serrata. RNAcentral describes it as "partial 12S ribosomal RNA". It matches the Rfam family "Microsporidia small subunit ribosomal RNA", at positions 761 to 1311 of the family's 1311-position model. Lineage: Eukaryota; Metazoa; Arthropoda; Malacostraca; Decapoda; Dotillidae. The record is from RNAcentral.
UAGUUACUUUAAAAUUAAGAGAUUUGGCGGUGGUUUAAUCUUUUUAGAGGAACUUGUUUGUUAAGUCGAUAAUACUCGCAAUAUCUUACUUACUCUUGUAAAGCUUAAGUUUGUAUACCGUCAUUAUCAGGUAAUUCUAAGAGGAACGAAUUUCUUUAGUUAAUUUAUUAAAAAAAUUAGAUCAAGGUGCAGCCAAUGAGUAAGUAAAAAUGAGUUACAGUAAUUUCUUUUAUACGAAUAAAUUAAUUAAAUUUAAUUUUGAAGGAGGAUUUAAUUGUAGUGAAAGUUUAACAAGCUUUUAUGAAAUAAGCUCUAAACCAUGUACAUAUCGCCCGUCGCUUCCAUUUACAAGUGGAAUAAGUCGUAACAUAGUAGGUGUACUGGAAAGUGCAUCUGGAAUUAAG